AGAGGGUUGAGCUGCUUCAAAUGUUUGCAGAAAUGAUUUCUUUUUUUGAGGUAACUCUGUCAGCUGGGAGCACAAACAGAGAAAGAACAAGCUUGCUGAAUGAGGAUGGGUUGGAGUUGGCCAGAACUCCUGUCGUCAUUCUGUCACUGGCAUUCCUGCUGCAGCUAGGAGAAACGAUGGGUGUGGGAUAUCUAUAGAGCUGUCAUCUACAUCGAACUCGAAGUGCUUAUAGGAAAACCGGGAAGCCAAGAGAAUGCAACCACCAAAUUACUUGUCCUGGAGACCGCGGAGCCUGAGAGGAUGAACAACCUCUACUGGAGACAGCUGCAAAUAAAUGCUUUCCUAGAGCUUUCUUUGGGCUAAAUUGUUGAAACUUCUCCUGUACUCGCCAAGUUUCACUCUUGUCGCUCAGGCUGGAAUGCAACGGCCCAAUCUGGGCUCACUGCAACCUAUGCCUCCUGGGUUUAAGCGAUUCUCCUGCCUCAGCUUCCCAAGUGGCUGGGAUUACAGGUAUGUGCCACCAUGCUUGGC
Long non-coding RNA from Callithrix jacchus (white-tufted-ear marmoset), 531 nucleotides. RefSeq lists it as uncharacterized. NCBI's taxonomy places the organism in Eukaryota, Metazoa, Chordata, Mammalia, Primates, Cebidae. The record is from RefSeq and is a predicted model, not a curated record.